This 183-nucleotide non-coding RNA is filed under the name Chromobacterium sp. RNAcentral's name for it is "Glycine sequence". It matches the Rfam family "Glycine riboswitch aptamer". From Rfam's summary of the family: This family represents the bacterial glycine riboswitch. Glycine riboswitches usually consist of two metabolite-binding aptamers domains with similar structures in tandem. The aptamers cooperatively bind glycine to regulate the expression of downstream genes. Lineage: Bacteria; Pseudomonadati; Pseudomonadota; Betaproteobacteria; Neisseriales; Chromobacteriaceae. The record is from RNAcentral. RNAcentral also lists the same sequence under 1 other name.
UACCAGCCGAUUGGAGAGAGGCCCUAAGCGCUCGUUCAUCAUCUGCUACGCUUCAGCAACAGCGCGUCAGAUUAUGCGACCGGCCCUUAGCCGCCCACCGAAGGGGCAAGUGACAUCCGGCAAGGCCCGCACACCGGCCGCGCCCGUCAUCUAACUCUCAGGUAAAAGGACAAGGGGAGAGGC